CGGAUACUACCUUGAAAUUAAAUGGGUUUCCUUCAGCGUUGAAGGAAGCUUGCCGUCAUGCUCGAACGAUUCAGUGGAAGUGUAUCUUACAAGCUCUUAUAACUCUAUCGGAAAGUUUUGCUCAUCUAACAUGCGGUCAAGCAAGCCAUUCACUAUGUUUUCAAAUGACGGAUAUGCAAAGAUCCGAUUCAAGUCUGACAGCUCGAACACACGAACUGGAUUUUCAUUGACGUACCAGCUGAAAA
Molecule: non-coding RNA, 245 nt
Organism: Rhopilema esculentum
Lineage: Eukaryota; Metazoa; Cnidaria; Scyphozoa; Rhizostomeae; Rhizostomatidae
Source: RefSeq, a predicted model, not a curated record